This 23-nucleotide microRNA is filed under the name Patiria miniata (bat star). RNAcentral describes it as "Pmi-Mir-190_5p (mature (guide))". Lineage: Eukaryota; Metazoa; Echinodermata; Asteroidea; Valvatida; Asterinidae. The record is from RNAcentral.
UGAUAUGUUUGCAUUUGGGUUGA